This is a small nuclear RNA of Cercocebus atys (sooty mangabey), 103 nucleotides long. The record is from Ensembl. NCBI's taxonomy places the organism in Eukaryota, Metazoa, Chordata, Mammalia, Primates, Cercopithecidae.
GUGCUUGCAUCUUGUGCACAUAUACUAAAACUUCGAUGAUACAAAGAUUAGCAUGGCCCCUACCGAGGUUGACACACAAACUCAUGAAGUGUUCUACAUUUAA